GUGCUUCUUCACCCUUGCUCCAUACAAAGUGCACGCCGCAGCGACCCUCUCCAGCUCAGCUUGGAGAUCGCAGUGCCAAGUUUACCUCCCCACAUCUCAAACCCACGUCCUUCAUCAGCCACAGAGCACCAAGAGCAGCUCCUCCAGCCACGACCAAGCCACCUUUCCGGCACGGUCGGCUCACCCCUCAGUGCCAUUGCCCGAAGCCAGUGCCCGGAGUGCUUUCUCCCUCCAGGGAGGCACAGGGAUGCCGUGCCUGGCUUGGCACAGCCCUGCCCGAAGGCAGCGCCAGGCUGAGCCUACCUCCCCGCACGUGACCCCGUGCAACUGGAGCAACAUCCCUGCGGGAGGGAAGGAAGGAGGCGGCCGGGCUGUUAAGAAAUAAAACCACUGCAGAGCUGACUGCGAGAGGACGGAGACGAAGAGACAAGCUGGCUGGAAAGGACAGCUUUGCUGAGCCAGGGAGAAAAUGGUUUGAGUAAUUAUCAACGCCUGCCGCUACGUGGCCAGGAAGGUGAGGACCCUGUGCAGCCGGGAGCACCAAGAGCCACCACCCUGCCCGGCGCAGGCAGCCCCCCGCAGCCCCCACCAAAAUGUAAAGGCCGAAGUAGCAGCAGCCCCCCAAGCAAGAGCCUCGCUUCCCAGGAACAGCAACCCCAUCCAAGACCAGCCCUGCAGGUCCUGAGGAUAAAAGCCCUCAUGGUCCCCCCCGGAAGGCCAUGAGUUUUCUUCCCACCGAUUUCCCCAGGGAAUCCCUUUGCUGGUAAUCCCGCAGCCCAGGGAUUGGAAAAUACCAGCAAAUCUCUCCUGUAUCUGCUCUCAACACACAAGCACAGCAAUAGAAAAUGUCCCAAUCGGUCUCUCAUUACCAGAAUUUUAUAGCUGGUAGGAAAAAAUAGGUUGCCAAUGUGUAUCAGAUGCUCUGGGCACUUUUGGGCCCUAGAGUGCCAGGGGAAGAGCAUGAGCCAUUGCACCCCAGCAGCAAACUGGUUUUUUAUACUGUGAAAUGGAAUUGUGCUCCCAAUGAUAUCGGUAUGCGUUCAGACUAAAAUCAGUUACUGAGCUAUAGCAAGGGGUCUUAGAGCUUAAGUCUGCAGAAAUCCCAUGGUUUUGUACAACCCCCUUCUCUGUGCCCAGUAAGCUGUCCUUACUGGGCAGCCUGCACCGCGGCAUGAUGCGCAGCACCUCCAGAGCAGAGCACUGCAGGGACCACAGUGGGAUCCCCCUCCAGCGAACCCCACCCUGUCACAGAGAGCAAUGACAGCAGGAUCACAAACUCCGCAUUUGCGGGGAGGAAUCUGCCUGACCCCUUCCUGUGACUGCCCAAGCUGAACCAACAAUAAAGAUGGAUGAAAAGCG
This is a long non-coding RNA of Falco peregrinus (peregrine falcon), 1359 nucleotides long. RefSeq lists it as uncharacterized. The record is from RefSeq and is a predicted model, not a curated record. NCBI's taxonomy places the organism in Eukaryota, Metazoa, Chordata, Aves, Falconiformes, Falconidae. The transcript is spliced from 3 exons.